This 27-nucleotide non-coding RNA is filed under the name Rattus norvegicus (Norway rat). The record is from RNAcentral. Lineage: Eukaryota; Metazoa; Chordata; Mammalia; Rodentia; Muridae.
UUCUAAGGAGACCUUAACUGGGAUGGA